This 506-nucleotide unclassified non-coding RNA is filed under the name Xanthosia pilosa. Its description in RNAcentral is "partial miscellaneous RNA". The stretch from base 407 to 458 matches the Rfam family "tRNA". Lineage: Eukaryota; Viridiplantae; Streptophyta; Magnoliopsida; Apiales; Apiaceae. The record is from RNAcentral.
UUUUAAUGUAUACGAAUUUUUUUGAAAUAAAUUUGAAAUAAAAAAGGAGCAAUACCCGCCCUCUUGAUAGAACAAGAAAGAGGUUAUUGCUCCUUUUUUAUUUUUAUUUAGUAGUAUUUUACUUACCUAAAAAGAAAAAGUCAUUUUUUUAUGGGGUGGUUCAUGAUUGAGUAUCGUGCUUUCAUAUUAAUUUAGAAUUUAGCUAGCCUUUUCACAAUAUUUUGUUGUAUAUUUACCUUAAUGUGAAGUAUUUAAAAGAGAAAUAUCUUGGAAUUUUGUAUCUAAAAAAAAUAGGAGUAAGAAGAUGAAUGGUCAAAAUUGAAUCAUUAGAAAUGAGAAAUGAAAUGGGAAAUUGAAAUUUUGAAAUUAAAGAAAAUAAUAGUAAAUUAAAUAAUAAAUAGUAGGGGCGGAUGUAGCCAAGUGGAUCAAGGCAGUGGAUUGUGAAUCCACCAUGCGCGCCUGUGUGAAAUAGAUUGUCAUCCAGCAUUACGUUCAUGCAUAACGUC